GACGAAGGUGGCGAGCGUUGUUCGGAAUCACUGGGCAUAAAGCGCACGUAGGCGGCGACGUAAGUUGGGUGUGAAAUCCCUCGGCCCAACCGAGGAACUGCGCCCAGUACUGCGUUGCUUGAGGAUCCAAGGGGUGCAUGGAAUUCCCGGUGGAGCGGUGAAAUGCGUUGAUAUCGGGAGGAACACCUGUGGCGAAAGCGGCUCACUGGACCACAACUGACGCCGAGGCGCGAAAGCUAGGGGAGCAAACAGG
RNAcentral lists this ribosomal RNA (253 nucleotides) under uncultured bacterium. RNAcentral describes it as "partial 16S ribosomal RNA". It matches the Rfam family "Bacterial small subunit ribosomal RNA", at positions 524 to 776 of the family's 1533-position model. The record is from RNAcentral.